This 921-nucleotide ribosomal RNA is filed under the name uncultured bacterium. Its description in RNAcentral is "bacterial SSU rRNA". It matches the Rfam family "Bacterial small subunit ribosomal RNA", at positions 9 to 916 of the family's 1533-position model. The record is from RNAcentral.
GAGUUUGAUCCUGGCUCAGGAUGAACGCUAGCGACAGGCUUAACACAUGCAAGUCGAGGGGCAGCGGGGGCGAAGCUUGCUUCGCCUGCCGGCGACCGGCGCACGGGUGAGUAACACGUAUGCGACCUGCCCCCCGCAGGGGGAUAACCGGGAGAAAUCCCGACUAAUACCGCGUAACGCCGCGGGGCUGCAUGGCCCCGCGGCCAAAGGAAGCGAUUCCGGCGGGGGAUGGGCAUGCGGCGCAUUAGCUAGUCGGCGGGGUAACGGCCCACCGAGGCGACGAUGCGUAGGGGUUCUGAGAGGAGGGUCCCCCACACUGGUACUGAGACACGGACCAGACUCCUACGGGAGGCAGCAGUGAGGAAUAUUGGUCAAUGGGCGGGAGCCUGAACCAGCCAAGUCGCGUGAGGGAAGACGGUCCUACGGAUUGUAAACCUCUUUUGCCGGGGAGCAACGGGGUCCUUGCGAGGGCCCAAUGAGAGUACCCGGAGAAAAAGCAUCGGCUAACUCCGUGCCAGCAGCCGCGGUAAUACGGAGGAUGCGAGCGUUAUCCGGAUUUAUUGGGUUUAAAGGGUGCGUAGGCGGGCUGUUAAGUCAGCGGUCAAAUGUCGGGGCUCAACCCCGGCCUGCCGUUGAAACUGGCGGCCUCGAGUGGGCGAGAAGUAUGCGGAAUGCGUGGUGUAGCGGUGAAAUGCAUAGAUAUCACGCAGAACUCCGAUUGCGAAGGCAGCAUACCGGCGCCCUACUGACGCUGAGGCACGAAAGCGUGGGUAUCGAACAGGAUUAGAUACCCUGGUAGUCCACGCAGUAAACGAUGAAUGCUAGCUGUCCGGUUCUACGGGACUGGGUGGCACAGCGAAAGCGUUAAGCAUUCCACCUGGGGAGUACGCCGGCAACGGUGAAACUCAAAGGAAUUGACGG